Molecule: ribosomal RNA, 428 nt
Filed under: uncultured bacterium
Lineage: Bacteria
Description: bacterial SSU rRNA
Rfam family: Bacterial small subunit ribosomal RNA
Source: RNAcentral
UGGGGAAUAUUGCACAAUGGGCGAAAGCCUGAUGCAGCGACGCCGCGUGGAGGACGAAGGUUUUCGGAUUGUAAACUCCUGUUAAGUGGGAAGAAAGACUAAUACCUAAUACGUAUUGGGGAUGACGGUACCACUAGAGAAAGCACCGGCAAACUUCGUGCCAGCAGCCGCGGUAAUACGAAGGGUGCGAGCGUUAUUCGGAAUAACUGGGUGUAAAGAGUGUGUUGGCGGUUUCUUAAGUCAGUUGUUAAAGCGCUCGGCUUAACUGGGCAAAUGCGAUUGAAACUGGGAGACUAGAGUACGGGAGAGAAAGGUAGAAUUCUCGGAGUAGCGGUAAAAUGCGUAGAUCUCGAGAGGAAUACCGGUUGCGAAGGCGGCCUUUUGGUCCGUUACUGACGCUUAAGCACGAAAGCGUGGGGAGCAAACAG